GGGCUCACACAAGUGGUGGAUCAUCUUGUUUAAUUCGAUAAUACGCGCAAAACCUUACCAACCCUUGACAUCUUUUUUUCUUUCCCUUAGGAGGGGGAAGAUUAUUAAAAAGACAGGUGCUGCAUGGCUGUCGGCAGUUCGUGUUGUGAAAUGUCUGGUUAAAUCCUAUAACGGACGCAACCCCUUCGAAAUUUUUCAUUUGCUUUUUCGUAAUGCCCAUGAGAAGUGGGAGGAAGGUGGGGAUCACGUCAAGUCCUCAUGGCCCUUAUGGGUUGGGCUACAAAGGUGAUACAAUGGUAAUUACAAAGGGAUGCAAUGAUGAAAGUCGGAGCAAAUCCUAAAAAAUUAUCCUAGUUCGGAUUGGUCUCUGCAACUCGAGAUCAUGAAGCUGGAAUCACUAGUAAUCGUGGAUC
This 413-nucleotide ribosomal RNA is filed under the name uncultured bacterium. RNAcentral describes it as "partial 16S ribosomal RNA". It matches the Rfam family "Bacterial small subunit ribosomal RNA", at positions 917 to 1350 of the family's 1533-position model. The record is from RNAcentral.